RNAcentral lists this ribosomal RNA (292 nucleotides) under uncultured bacterium. RNAcentral's name for it is "partial 16S ribosomal RNA". It matches the Rfam family "Bacterial small subunit ribosomal RNA", at positions 505 to 796 of the family's 1533-position model. The record is from RNAcentral.
GUGUCAGCCGCCGCGGUAAGACAGAGGGUGCAAACGUUGUUCGGAAUUACUGGGCGUAAAGCGUGUGUAGGCGGUCUGCAAAGUCGGAUGUGAAAGCCCCGGGCUCAACCUGGGAAGUGCACUCGAUACUGGCAGACUAGAGUAUCGGAGAGGUUGGUGGAAUUCUCGGUGGAGAGGUGAAAUUCGUAGAUAUCGAGGGGAACACCAGUGGCGAAGGCGGCCAACUGGACGAAUACUGACGCUGAGACACGAAAGCGUGGGGAGCAAACAGGAUUAGAAACCCUGGUAGUCC